RNAcentral lists this ribosomal RNA (253 nucleotides) under uncultured bacterium. RNAcentral describes it as "partial 16S ribosomal RNA". It matches the Rfam family "Bacterial small subunit ribosomal RNA", at positions 524 to 776 of the family's 1533-position model. The record is from RNAcentral.
UACGUAGGUGGCAAGCGUUGUCCGGAUUUACUGGGCGUAAAGAGCGCGCAGGCGGUCGUUCAAGUCGCGUGUGAAAGCCCCCGGCUCAACUGGGGAGGGUCACGCGAUACUGAUCGACUCGAAGGCAGGAGAGGGUAGUGGAAUUCCCGGUGUAGUGGUGAAAUGCGUAGAUAUCGAGAGGAACACCUGCGGCGAAGGCGGGUUGCUGGGCUGAUACUGACGCUGAGGCGCGAAAGCCAGGGGAGCGAACGGG